UGGCUUAGUGGUUAAGAGCACUGACUGUUGUUCCAGAGGACCUGGGUUCAAUUCCCAG
RNAcentral lists this transfer RNA (58 nucleotides) under Cricetulus griseus (Chinese hamster). It matches the Rfam family "tRNA", at positions 8 to 63 of the family's 71-position model. Rfam says of the family: Transfer RNA (tRNA) molecules are approximately 80 nucleotides in length. Lineage: Eukaryota; Metazoa; Chordata; Mammalia; Rodentia; Cricetidae. The record is from Rfam by way of RNAcentral.